UGGUCAUUACCAAGGCUUUCAUAAUGCAGUUGUUCAUUUGCUGAGAACAUGAUCAGAAAACACACACACCUCCCUACUAGGUUUUCUACAUGUCACCUGCCUAGAGCAGUCAGCCCAUUGUGAGCAGUU
Jaculus jaculus (lesser Egyptian jerboa) is the source of this 129-nucleotide small nucleolar RNA. Lineage: Eukaryota; Metazoa; Chordata; Mammalia; Rodentia; Dipodidae. The record is from Ensembl.